AAACAGAGAAUGGAGCUAUACAUUCUUCUUUUCUGCAUACCUCUCUUUCUAAUCAUCCUCAAACCAUUUCUACAUGCUUCCUCAGCCCCAAAGAACACCCCACCAGGUCCAAAAGGGCUUCCCAUAAUUGGUUCCCUUCUUGAACUCGGAUCUCGACCAAACCAAUCACUAGCUGCCUUAGCCAAAAUUCAUGGCCCAAUCAUGACUCUGAAACUUGGUUCCAUCACGGCCAUAGUAGCUUCUUCACCUGAAGCAGCCAAAGAAAUCCUCCAGAAACAAGAACAAAUCUUCUCUGACCGAUCUGUCCCUGAUGUGAUCACCGCACAGCCUAACCCUCAAGCCACUCUAGCAUGGGUCCCUGGCGACCAGCGGUGGCGCAACCGCAGACGUAUAUGCAGCACGCAAAUGUUCACCACCCAAAGAUUAGACUCCCUUCAACACCUGAGGCACAAAAAAGUUGAAGAACUUGUGCUGCACUUCAAGAAACAUUCUGCACGGGGUGCACCGGUUGAUAUAGGUCGUGCUGCCUUUGCCACCACGCUUAACUUGAUGUCGAACACAAUUUUUUCCAUUGACAUGGUGGAUCCAGAGUUUGAAACUGCUCAGGAGUUUAAGGACUUAGUUUGGAGGAUCAUGGAGGAUGCAGGAAAGCCGAAUCUGUCGGAUUAUUUUCCACUGAUAAAGAUGUUUGAUCUUCAAGGAGUGAAACGUCAUAUUAGGCCUUCUUAUCUAAGAUUGCAUCAAAUAUUUGAUGAAGUCAUUGCGAAAAGAUUGGAGGCUAGGAAGCUGGGGGAGAGCAGGAAAGAUGAUUUCUUGGAUGUGCUUCUUGAUCAGUGCGAAGAAGAGGGGUCUGGAUUUAAUCGUGAAACUAUCAAGCCAUUGAUUCUGGUAAGUUUUUCUGUUAUUGAUAUAACAUGUAUAACUCAUAGCAUAAUCACAGUUGUUUUAAUGAAAAUAUUGGACUUUGAGAUCUUUAAAAUCAAUCGUGUCCUUGGAACUAACAAACACCAUUUGAUUACUACGACGGUAUAAGGAAAAAUUAUAGAAAUGGACCAAAUCAUUCUUGGUGAUCUCUACAAUAUUAUCUAAAGUCAAACAAGAAUUCUUUUUUUGUACUUGCUAAUAUCUGUAAUAAUUUAGUGCUCAACCCUUGAGACUUAGGUAUAUAAGUGAAGGUUCAGAUUAAGCUGUGAAGGACUCCAAUGAACUUGGAAAUUGCGUCAAGGACUAUUUUUAGAAUCUCUCUUUUUUUUUUUUUUUCCCGACCUUAAAAUUUGUGUAUUCAUUUCAUGAUGAUGCUUCACCUAAUCAGUUUUAUAGCCGCGUCAAAAAUCGUGACUCCUUGGUUCGAGGAUCACUGACGUACGACAAGCAUCCAAAGUGAAACUUGACUUUUCAUAGAAUGAUUUCUUACAUAAGAGUAGAAAUUCUACUGUUUUCACUUAUAGGUCCCAUUUUUAGCUUCCUCGGUUUUUCCUUGCUCUUCCUUCCUUCUUUUAUCAUACUAUCAUUUUUAAUAGGUGAAGAAGGAAGAACCAAAUUGUGUGGAAACUUAUUACAUAGAAGAAAGAGAGGAACAAGAAAACUUUUGACUUGUCUUCUUUAUUUGGAUAUAUUUGUUUCGUUUACUUUCUGUCUUCACAAUGAUAGACACAUUUCACAAACACAAUUGAGCGAUUAAACUAAUGUGUGGGGCAGUUGUGGGGAGUUUACAUCAUUUUUUAAAAAGGGGGUAACGAUGGCCGAUUUGAUCAGUUAAACUUAUCAAACUCGAAAAGUUAAUCGAGCUAGUUAAAUCUAAUCAAGAACUGAUUGAUUUUGGUCAAAAUCAAUAAAAACUAAUGGUUCAACCGAUUUUCACUAUUUUUUUCUUUUAAAUAUUUCAAUUUCAUCCAACAUAGUCAAUACUAAAAUAAAUUUUUUGAAAAAAUUAAGCUUUUGAACCGAGCUCGAACCGUGAACCGAAAUUUCAUUUGGUUUACUCCCCAAUCCGGAAACAUUAGUCUGGCUAUAAGAUAGUACAAAUAGGCUUAAACAAUCACUAUCUCAAUUCUGUUACCUGUGCUGCACCAUGCCAAAACAUGUCUGAUUAUGAUGCAAUUGUAGCAAAUCUUUGACUGUUUAGGUAUCACACAAGAUUCUAUCUCAGGUUUUUGUAGGAGAAGGAGAAGAUUUUAUCACAAUAAACUCUUGAUUGCCCCUUAGAAUAAAAAUCUUGAUUGCACGUUUUGCCCAAAAGACUCGGGAACUAGAUAAUUUUUUAAAAACUCCGCGUGUCAUAAGCUGCAAUAGCUAAUUUAAAAGUCAACCUUAGGUAGCAAAUUAUAUGUCGGUAAAGACGGUGGAAACAUAUAAUUGAAUUAUUAAAUUAUUUAGGUCGAUCGUGUCAGGACUAGAAGUGUUUAUUUGUUUAUUUAUUUAUCGGUCUGUCUAACGGAUGCCCAUAAAUAAAGUUAAGUUGUAUUUCAGGUGUCAAAUUCAGAAAUAUAAGAUUAAUUAGAGAAAAUAUAUAAAUACAAGGGAAUUAAUUAAAAAAAGUAUAUAAAUACAAGAGAAAGUAAUAAUUAUUAGUAUGUGUAUGUAUAUAAUAAAUUGGGUGGAAUGUAGGACGAAUGUUCUAUGGACACUCGUUAGAAAACCCUUUAUUUAUUUAUUUUUAUACAGGAGCUUAAGAGUUAUAACACUGCAAGGCUGUAAGCAAAUAUAGUGACAUGUGAUGAGUCAUAAUAAUACUUCUAAAUUGGGAAAAUCCGAAAGCUAAUAAGUGAAGAUACCGCCCACCUACUCCUAUGAAGCACACACGUAUUGUGACCUCCACCUUCUUAACAUAUAGAUCAUAAUAAAACAUGGGGAAGUCCUAUAUUGCUUUAGAAUAUUGUACUGAUGAGAUUAAAUUCAUCAUUAAAUAUGAAGUAAGAGCUAUCUAUUUUUAGAUUAUUUUAAGAAUUUAAAUCACUAAAUGAUAAAUAACAUGACAAGAUGUAAGUGAAUUAAAAUCGUUAAUUCUGUAUUCAAAAGAGAUGGUAGCAUUUUCCAAAAACAUAUUAGAGUAUUCGGAAAUUGAUUUUGACAAUAGCAACAAAAAUCCCCCAAAAUAUGUGCAACGCCAUUAAGGUAUGGUAAAAUUAACAGGGAUUUCAAAUGACCUCUUGAGUGUUGAACAUCAUUGACACAUGUAAUUUGCCAAAAAUGAAAACUAAGAAUUAAUAGUAGUAGGAGAAAUAUUUUGUCUAAUAAUUAAAGUUGAGAUUCUAAGAAUUAAAGUUGUCUGUUCUUCUCCACUUAUUUUAUCUCCUACUCAUGCCCUACUAAAAGAAAAAGAAAAAAAAAAAAGAGUAGUACUAAAUGCAAACACUCAACCCCCAACCAAAUUUGACGAAUUGUCACACUCUACUGGCCAGUAUAGGCAUUUAUCAUUUUCAUAUCCGUUUAUCAGACAAUUUGAUUAAUGAAUUCAACAAUGAUAGGACUUGUUUAUUGCUGGAAGUGACACAUCUGCAAUAACUACUGAAUGGGCAAUGGCCGAACUGCUGCGAAAACCUGAAGCCAUGGAAAAAGCAAGAGAAGAAAUAAUCCAAAAAAUUGGUUUUGAAAGAUCAGUGAAGGAAUCAGACAU
RNAcentral lists this long non-coding RNA (3616 nucleotides) under Coffea arabica (coffee). RNAcentral describes it as "long non-coding RNA (CARA_LNC005560)". The record is from RNAcentral. Lineage: Eukaryota; Viridiplantae; Streptophyta; Magnoliopsida; Gentianales; Rubiaceae.